Molecule: long non-coding RNA, 1045 nt
Organism: Phacochoerus africanus (Common warthog)
Lineage: Eukaryota; Metazoa; Chordata; Mammalia; Artiodactyla; Suidae
Exons: 3
Source: RefSeq, a predicted model, not a curated record
GCCACAACAGCUGGAAAUUCUUUGUGCUUGUCUGUAAGUCACUGUUACAAACAGGAGGCUUUUCAAACCCAACCCCAAACACAGGAAUUCUCCCCUCGUCCGUCUGUCUCCUGGGCCCCAUCGAGACAGCUGGACUUCCCACGCAAGUGAAAACAUCCAACUGUGAGUGUCCUUUCCUGGGUCAGCCUGCUCUUCCUUACCUUGAAGGAGAACAUAAAUCCCUUCAGAGAAAUGGCUAUUUUUCUCUUUCAAGUUAUGUGGAAUACUGUGUGUAGGUCUUUCAAUUUGUCCUUUGCUGGAAUGAGCAGGAAUGGAUGCAAUCUCUGCCCUGGCAGGUGGGCAUGACAUUGUAUUUACUCAGCCAGGUCUUUGAAAUGCACUGCAAAGAUAGGAGCCUCAUGCAGGAUCGUCCCACUGGCUUUUGUGAAGAUGAGUGAACCAAUGCCUUAUUAUUGAAACAGAGAAGCUUUCAGUGGAUUUGAAGUAAAGCCACAGACAGGCUGGAAGCAAGGAGACCCCAGAAUGAAGCUAAAUCUCGCAGAUGGUGCCUUUCCUCCUAGAAGCCAUGCCCCUUACUACGCUUCAGAAGCCCUCCUGCAGUAAAGACAGUGGUGGGGGGGGGGGGCGGAGCAGCGCUUCUCACGUUUGCAGAGGACUCAGCCUGGGGCAAGGAGAUGUAUCGAGAGCAUCAAAGAUUGCAGGGCCUUUUUGCCUACCUAGGUAGAGCUGGACCCUCAUUGCCCUGAGAAGGAGCCAUUCUGGGUUGAAGAUGCUGCUGGCUUCAGGACUCUGGUCUGAGAUGUCUUCCGGCUGCAUCAAACACAAAGACUUGCUUUGGGCCACCAGCCUCCUGGGCUCAUUGCCGAAGAGCAGCCACCGCUCCCCAUGGGUGGAGGUAUAUGUGUUCUCCGGAAGGCUGUCACCCAGUGUCACAGUCACUGACUGUGUCCUAACUCCCUAGAGCUCAGAUGCAUAGUGAAACCCAUGCAUGUCUGUAAUGAAAACAUCAGUUCAACUGCCUGAUAAAAUUCCUGUUCAUUGUCAA